Molecule: ribosomal RNA, 274 nt
Filed under: uncultured bacterium
Lineage: Bacteria
Description: partial 16S ribosomal RNA
Rfam family: Bacterial small subunit ribosomal RNA
Source: RNAcentral
AUACGGAGGGGGCUAGCGUUGUUCGGAAUUACUGGGCGUAAAGCGUACGUAGGCGGACUGAUCAGUUGGGGGCGAAAUCCCAGGGCUUAACCCUGGAACUGCCUUCAAUACUGUCAGUCUUGAGAUUGGAAGAGGUGAGUGGAAUUCCUAGUGUAGAGGUGAAAUGAAUAGAUAUUAGGAGGAACACCAGUGGCGAAGGCGGCUCACUGGUCCAAUACUGACGCUGAGGUACGAAAGCGUGGGGAGCAAACAGGAUUAGAAACCCUAGUAGUCC